ACAGAGACCUCAAGCGUUAUUCGGAUUUACUGGGCGUAAAGGGUGCGCAGGCGGCCAAGUGUGUCGGAGGUGAAAUCUUGCAGCUUAACUGUAAAAUUGCCUACGAAACUACUUGGCUAGAGUAUCGGAGAGGAUAGCGGAAUUCCAGGUGUAGCAGUGAAAUGCGUAGAUAUCUGGAGGAACACCAAUGGCGAAGGCAGCUAUCUGGACGAUUACUGACGCUCAGGCACGAAAGCAUGGGGAGCGAAAGGG
This 252-nucleotide ribosomal RNA is filed under the name uncultured bacterium. RNAcentral describes it as "partial 16S ribosomal RNA". It matches the Rfam family "Bacterial small subunit ribosomal RNA", at positions 525 to 776 of the family's 1533-position model. The record is from RNAcentral.